GUCAUCUGUUCCCUCCUCUCUCAAAUGCUCUCUACCUAAACCUUAAUCUUCAGGCGUUGUCACCGGCUUAGCCCUCCGUUCUACAAUGUUUCUGUUUUUACCUCAGGUCUUUAAUGGCCUCUUCUAUACUAUGGUACCUCCAUCUCCAAGAUCAUUGAGGAGAUACGAGGGACCUAGGUGGUUUAUUUACACCUUUGGGUUUUUCUUUUCUGUUUCAGGCUACUUGGUUGACCUUGAGUAAGAUCUUUCUCAUUUUUAUCUUGAAUCCAUGAUUUUCUAAGUCUAUGCUCGUCUCUGUUGACUUUAUAGAAAAAAUCUAAUUUUUAUCCUUUGAUCUUCUUAGAUAUGUCCAUAUCUGAGAUGAAUCAAACCUAUUUCACACGUUUUCAUGAAGGUCUUAUGAGGUUUUUAAUGGAUUCUCCAUUUUUCCAAAAAAAUCUAGGGUUUACUGAACUCAUCUUUUCAAAGCCUUUCUGAUUUUCAAGUGUUUAAUCGUGGUUCUUAAGUGUUGCUGACGGAUUCAUGUUAAUAUUAUUUUGACCUUAGUCGAUUUAUGCUAAAGCCCCAGUUUUUUUAUAAUUUUUCUUCAUUCCUGGGGUUUUUCAUGUAACUCGUUGCAUUGUUACACUUUGUGCUUUAACUUUCAUAAUUUUCCUUAGUUUAAUUCAGUAUUUUGUGACUUUUACCCUAGUUCAUCUUUACUAUGGUUUUAGAGUAUAUCUCCUGGCUAAUUUCUGUGUGUUUAUGAAGUUUUAUUUAGCCUACUCGUCUAUUUGUGGAAACUGAUUUUUCCCUCUCUUUAAAUCAAUACUAUUUUGGAUUUUGAUUUAUUAAUUUUCUUGGUUAAAAAUUAUGUGUUGAUUCUUAAUUUAUUCCCUUGUUUACGACUUUAAUUAUUCUUAUUACCUAAUUGCCUAUAAUAUGACUGAUUCUUCACGAUCAUUUCUUUAAUUAAACUCAUGUUUGUUUACCUCUUUACUUAGGUAUUAUUUGAUUUUUUUGCCUUAAGUGACUCUUGUCCUUUAACCGUUGAGUAGUUGUCCUUAAUUAAAGGAAGACUAUGAUGAUUUGGUGUGUGAUUAAUCUUGUAAUUUCCCUAAUUGCUGAGUUUUGAUUUUUUUUUACCUUAUUUUGCUCAGCUCCUAAACUGCUAUAUAUACUCUCCUCUAUUCUCAGUUCAACAGAGGAACAUUGGUUCACAAAAUACUCUCACACUCUCAAAAGCUCUCUACUCUUCUCUGUUACUUCCAUUUCUCACUAACCUAGCCGGCUGUAAGCCAAGGCUAGCUAUCUGCACCAUAUCUGCUCUAUAUGGUGUAUUCUCUCUCUUUAACUGGUAUGUCCUGAUUCAAUUCAAAGUUCAAAACUCUAUGUGCUUCAUUGUUGUUCCAAUUCAUUAGCUGUGACUUUCAAUCCUGUUUAUUGAUUACUAUCAUGUUUCUCAAUGUGUAACCAACAUGCCUAGAUCACACUACCUAACUACUAUCUCACUUAUCAUGUUGGAGUUUUAUUCUGUUAGAAUCUGUGACUAGUUUAUUUACCCAUAAUGAUCUGCUUAUUGUUUUGUUUAGCAUUGCCCAAUCAUGUCCUUUGGUAAUUACAUGCAUCUUAUUUGCUCUUUAGCAUGUCCAAACUACAUUGCUUGUCUACUGUCUCACCUAACAUACCUGAACUCUGCUUGUUCUAUAUGUGAUUAGUAUCUCUAAACUAUGAGUGUUUGUAUGGUGCGUGCCUAGUCUGUUCAUUUAAGUCUUGCCUACUUUGCUUUACUAAUGAGAUCUUGCUAAGUCAUCUAGGCCUUCAAGGUAACUCUAGUUCAGUGUUUAGUCAUGUCCAAGGUCUAUGCGUUCUCAACAUGUCUUUGCUAUAAUCUUUGUAAUUAACUUAUCAAUUCUACAAAUUUUUGAGAAGUCUGUGCACCUAUUUUGCUUGUACACUAAGGUGUAUUCUAUGCAUCCCCAAUCCCUCUCUCCUUGUGCAGAACCUACUUGCCAAGUGUUUCUGAAUAUGGUUGUUCUGUAAUUUGUGUUUUGAUUUCAAAGUGUUUUCAUACUUUUCUCAAGCUGUUUUACCACCAAAUUAAUACUGGUUUUCAGAAAAUCUUUUCACCUCUAAGAGUCCUUUCUAUACUGUUUACCAAAAUUCUUUCAAAUAAUGUCAAGCACUCUCACUUAUUCUUAGGUUGUUAAGUCCUGCCCCUGUGGUAUGUGUACUGCUUAGAGGUCCCUGAGAUCUCUAUGAACUCUGACAUAUUAGGUCUGGCUAUUCCACAAAGUACGUAAUCAGUCUUUAUUUGAGAAAGUCGGGGUGUGAGCACUACCCAUGAUCUUUGAAGUCCUUAGGAAACUCUGACACACCCGGACACAAAUGUGACAAUGCAUCUUAGGCAUUUGAGACUAGUGAAGGCCUGGUACACCAAGAUAUGCUUUGGGCCUAAUUGAGGCUCCCUAUAGCUUAAUUUAUAUUUUAUUUAUGUAAUUUAUUCAUCAUUGGUAUGUAAUAAUUAACCGUAAACAGAUAUUGGGUGACUAGUGAAACGGGAAGGUAGUUGUAUGAUACUGUGGGUAAAACUGGGUAAAAACAUGCUAUAGGUUUUAUAUCCUUCAAAUCCGUAUUAGAAUCCAUGUUCUAGGUUGGAUGUGCAUUAGCAUUUAAACCUUAUUAAACAUGUGCAUUAGAUAUCCUGCUUUUAGGGCCUUCACAUUUACUGUUUUAG
This 2716-nucleotide long non-coding RNA is filed under the name Nicotiana benthamiana. Its description in RNAcentral is "long non-coding RNA (NBEN_LNC022729)". Lineage: Eukaryota; Viridiplantae; Streptophyta; Magnoliopsida; Solanales; Solanaceae. The record is from RNAcentral.